This 253-nucleotide ribosomal RNA is filed under the name uncultured bacterium. RNAcentral's name for it is "partial 16S ribosomal RNA". It matches the Rfam family "Bacterial small subunit ribosomal RNA", at positions 524 to 776 of the family's 1533-position model. The record is from RNAcentral.
UACGUAGGGUGCGAGCGUUGUCCGGAAUUACUGGGCGUAAAGAGCUCGUAGGUGGUUUGUCGCGUUGUUCGUGAAAACUCACAGCUCAACUGUGGGCGUGCGGGCGAUACGGGCAGACUGGAGUACUGCAGGGGAGACUGGAAUUCCUGGUGUAGCGGUGGAAUGCGCAGAUAUCAGGAGGAACACCGGUGGCGAAGGCGGGUCUCUGGGCAGUAACUGACGCUGAGGCGCGAAAGCCAGGGUAGCGAACGGG